Molecule: non-coding RNA, 493 nt
Organism: Carassius auratus (goldfish)
Lineage: Eukaryota; Metazoa; Chordata; Actinopteri; Cypriniformes; Cyprinidae
Source: the annotation of a RefSeq genome assembly
GUUAGUAAACCUUCCCAACAUGGAGAGAUGCUUUCUUCUUAUUCUAAUAUCCACUCCAGGUAUUUUAUCUGACAGCAUUCAACCGAAAGACAUGGAAACUAAUAUUUACACAUCUGAAGAAGAGCGUGUAACACUGAGCUGCACUUAUGAUACAAGCAGCAAUUAUGUCUAUCUCUACUGGUACAGACAGUAUCCUAAUGGGAAACCAGAAUAUAUAUUGUUUAAAGGUGCCCGGACUUGGAGCAGUGACGAAAAUAUACCAGACACUCGGUUUCAGUCCAUUACAUCCCAAACAUCCACUGAACUCAUUAUUAAGAGUGUAACUCUGUCAGAUUCAGCUCUUUAUUACUGUGCUCUAAGAGUAACAGCCCAGUGUUACAAAGUGCCUGAGAGGCUUUACAAAAACUCACUCAGAAAACUUGCUUUGAACAGUGAGUUAUCAAAUGAAUAUCAGACCACAUUUGUGUCUUCACAAACCACAAAGUCAAAUUGA